GGGCUUUUCCUGGGGCGCGGAACGCCCUAUAUAGGUCCUGUCGGGGUAACACCCGAAUAUGGCGAUAAACGCGUCGCGGAAUAAGCGUUGCGGACCCGGGGGCGGUACCCGGCGCCUCCACCAAAUCAGACCCGGUUGGGUCGUUCUGGGGGCGAAACAGGCUCGACGCGCGUGGUAAAGGUGAUGUUUUCGCUCGGCAUGGUACCGCCGUUAUCGGGCUAAAAUGAUAGGUGCCAACGACAAUGUUGCACCCGCGAUGAAGGUUGCCGCCUGAUCACCUAACGGUGCCAGGGUAGCAAUUGUCUGAGCGCGGUAAGGGGGGCGCCGGGCAACAGAAAGCCCCCCACU
Molecule: transfer-messenger RNA, 348 nt
Filed under: Azospirillaceae bacterium
Lineage: Bacteria; Pseudomonadati; Pseudomonadota; Alphaproteobacteria; Rhodospirillales; Azospirillaceae
Rfam family: Alphaproteobacteria transfer-messenger RNA
About the family: Bacterial tmRNA, also known as 10Sa RNA or SsrA, is named for its dual tRNA and mRNA-like properties. Its role is to liberate the mRNA from a stalled ribosome.
Source: RNAcentral